GGGUUAUUUGCAGCCACACCACCAUCAAUGACGUUAUUUUCUCUUUCCUCUUUGUCGAUGCAGACUGGGUUAUUUGCAGCCACACCAACAUCAAUGAGCAAAUAAUGGUCGGUUCUUGUCGUUCGGACAAGUUAGCAUGGCUGUCACCAAGCCGCCGGUGCUGGUCCCUGCUAUCACGUCGAAGUAAUCUGCUAGUCUUGCAUCUUCACCGUCCAGUUUCUAUGUAAUAACACAAAACAUAAAAUCUGUACUUAGUGAUAAGCAAAAGGUCAAUGUACUUAUCGUAGUCUAUGUCAAUUUGCUUUGUAUAUAUUAGACCUUUCUACUUCUAUUGGGAGAGAAAUUGACUCUUUUUUAUAAAGUUUUUAAAGUAUUGUUUGUUUGUAACGACAAA
This is a long non-coding RNA of Gossypium arboreum, 394 nucleotides long. RefSeq lists it as uncharacterized. The record is from RefSeq and is a predicted model, not a curated record. NCBI's taxonomy places the organism in Eukaryota, Viridiplantae, Streptophyta, Magnoliopsida, Malvales, Malvaceae. The transcript has 2 exons.